This 253-nucleotide ribosomal RNA is filed under the name uncultured bacterium. RNAcentral's name for it is "partial 16S ribosomal RNA". It matches the Rfam family "Bacterial small subunit ribosomal RNA", at positions 524 to 776 of the family's 1533-position model. The record is from RNAcentral.
GAGGGGGGAUGCAAGCGGUAUCCGGAAUUAUUGGGCGUAAAGCGUACGUAGGCGGCUUAUCAAGUCUGGGGUCAAAGACCACAGCUUAACUGUGGAAAGGCCUUGGAGACUGGUGAGCUGGAGUGAGGUAGGGGUUGCGGGAAUUCCCGGUGUAGCGGUGAAAUGCGUAGAUAUCGGGAAGAACACCUGAGGCGAAAGCGCGGGACUGGGCCUUAACUGACGCUGAGGUACGAAAGCUAGGGGAGCGAAUGGG